CAUCAGGGUUUGGAUUGAGCAUUUUCUGAUCAACGGCCAUCUUGUUUUGUGGAAGACCUCGGCUGAUAAACGAAGAAAGAGAUUUUUGUGACAACUUUGCACAACAGUUUGGAGAUGUUAUCACAUCACAAAAAGACCCAUGGCUGCUGGAUUAAUAUGCAUUUGAGGAGAUAUGAAAGGUGAUUCCAAAGCAAUACGUACAUAUAUGAGGAAAAACAGACAACUUGGAGAAGGAAACUGAGGUUACUCUUCAACACACUGCAGUUCUCCAUGGCAUUCCUGUCCUGCUUGGGCACAACACGGAGAGGAAAGGUCUUGCAUGUUUAUUUUCAUGUUUUCUCUUGAUUCAGCUAUUGUGUUUACUUGAUGACACAAGCUGACAUUGCAAUAUAUGUCAAAGGAGUUAGACAGUAUGAGCAAAUGUUUGUGUUACUAUGUAAGUUAAAGUAUAUUGAGUGUGCGUUCUUUUGUUUUAAUGUGCUCAGGGAAUAUUCUUCUUCUCAAAUGCUCUUUUGUUGGUUUUGAUUGCUUCUAUUGUCCUCAUUUGUAAGUCACUUUGGAUAAAAGCGUCUGCUAAAUGUAAAUGUACUCUUAACAUUUAAUUUGGGAUUUUUUUCUGAUU
Molecule: long non-coding RNA, 622 nt
Organism: Onychostoma macrolepis
Lineage: Eukaryota; Metazoa; Chordata; Actinopteri; Cypriniformes; Cyprinidae
Exons: 5
Source: RefSeq, a predicted model, not a curated record